GCAGUGCGAAGCUCUUGGCUGACAGUGGUGCCUGCUAAUUUCCACUGCAAGGAUUUCGUCAACGAAUGUUAUCAUAGGUUACGCGCGACUCCAGAGGCAAUUUGGAAUAUCGGCAAGAAAUCGUCGGAUGAAAAUCUGAGGUGCCCGACGCGCAACAUUUUGAACGUGCCACGGAGGAUCAAGGCAAAAAACGAGAGCAAAAAAGGUAAGUCGAGGUUCAGAUACAAAAAAUAGCAAGCCUACUGAAUCGAUUGUGCAGCUGUCCUACUGCGCUUACUCUGAUAUAACCACGAUUAACAACACAAUAGUAUUGAUAAUCUAACUUCUGAAUUGUCACAGGUGCACGCUGAAGGCGGAAAUGAAAAAUGAUCUGGCUUGCAUCUGGUGCAUGAAGAAAUUGCUGGCACGUUAGUUGCAGUCUACCUCCACCAACAGGGUGGAAAACAAAGGUCGCCAUUCCGAUUAGCUGCUAUCUCCCAGUUCAAGCACUUUUGCUGUCUGGACACUGGUUCCUGUGGAUGGGCUGUUACAAGCUUCACUGUCUGAUAUAGAAGUGAUGAGCAUCCAUAAGGACACAUGGCAGAAAGGGAGUCUCUUUGAGAUGACAAACCCUC
Long non-coding RNA from Ornithodoros turicata, 614 nucleotides. RefSeq lists it as uncharacterized. NCBI's taxonomy places the organism in Eukaryota, Metazoa, Arthropoda, Arachnida, Ixodida, Argasidae. The transcript is spliced from 3 exons. The record is from RefSeq and is a predicted model, not a curated record.